Molecule: long non-coding RNA, 257 nt
Organism: Tachyglossus aculeatus (Australian echidna)
Lineage: Eukaryota; Metazoa; Chordata; Mammalia; Monotremata; Tachyglossidae
Exons: 3
Source: RefSeq, a predicted model, not a curated record
AGUAAUGCCAGGACCACUCAGUGUUGAUAAUAAUGAUGAUUUACUUAAUUUUAUAAAAUUAAGAGUACUUUUAAUGGGCCUAAGCAAGAAGCUUUUACAGGAGAAACUUUCCUAUCUGAACCUGCUAUUGUCUCUUCUUUGGAGGAUAACACUGUCAUUCUAAUGGAGUCAGAAGUCGCAGUCCAACUCCAUUGCCAAGUCUGAACCUUCCGAUGAAAGACAUGCAGGUGAAGAAGCAGGAAACCAGAACUCCAAGC